This 253-nucleotide ribosomal RNA is filed under the name uncultured bacterium. RNAcentral's name for it is "partial 16S ribosomal RNA". It matches the Rfam family "Bacterial small subunit ribosomal RNA", at positions 524 to 776 of the family's 1533-position model. The record is from RNAcentral.
UACGUAGGGGGCAAGCGUUGUCCGGAUUUACUGGGCGUAAAGAGCGUGUAGGCGGCCACGCAGGUCCGUUGUGAAAACUGGAGGCUCAACCUCCAGCUGUCGACGGAAACCGUAUGGCUAGAGUCCGGAAGAGGAGAGUGGAAUUCCUGGUGUAGCGGUGAAAUGCGCAGAUAUCAGGAAGAACACCAAUGGCGAAAGCACUCUGCUGGGCCGACACUGACACUGAGAGACGAAAGCUAGGGGAGCGAAUGGG